UGCUGACCUGCUUCCGCUCCUGGUGCCCGGUGCCCGCUCACACUCGGGUCCUUCGCUAGCCCCUGGGACGCCCUUAGGAAUUCCCGCCGCCCCGGAAGUCCCACCCCUUCCCAUCAGACUCCCCUGUUCUGGAGGAGAGGCUUGCCUUUUUCUGUGGUUGACAUUUCCUUGGUGUAGGCUUCAGGCUAGGGAAGGGAGACCACCGAAAUCCUUCCCAUCCUGUGACUACUGACCAAGUUUUUCUGCUCCUCUUCUGUGGUGACCCCUGUCUCUUAGUUGCAGGAGUUGUACUCUAUGUGUAUCCAUUAAAGGAGCAGAGCUGAACUCUAGCAACUUCGCCAGAGAAACCUCCUGCCGAGUAAAACUGCUACUUCUGGGCAAAAAUUCCCAGCUGGAAGACCCUGUCCUGUUAGCUGAUACACUGGGGAAGCCUUUUCCAGAGGCAAGGCUGUAAGCUGCUAAGCUUACUACAACCUGUGGUAGUCCUUGGCUCCAGAGCUCCAGGUACCUUUCCAGCUGAGCUGUGUAACACUCAGUGUUCUGUGACUCCCGAGUGCCAGAAUACCUGUCU
Mesocricetus auratus (golden hamster) is the source of this 571-nucleotide long non-coding RNA. RefSeq lists it as uncharacterized. Lineage: Eukaryota; Metazoa; Chordata; Mammalia; Rodentia; Cricetidae. The record is from RefSeq and is a predicted model, not a curated record. The transcript is spliced from 3 exons.